UACAGAGGGUGCGAGCGUUAAUCGGAUUUACUGGGCGUAAAGGGCGCGUAGGUGGUAAAGCAAGUAAGAUGUGAAAGCCCUGGGCUUAACCUGGGAAGUGCAUCUUAAACUGCUUAACUAGAGUAUGGUAGAGGGUAGUGGAAUUUCCGGUGUAGCGGUGAAAUGCGUAGAGAUCGGAAGGAACGCCAGUGGUGAAGACGACUACCUGGACCAAUACUGACACUGAGGCGCGAAAGCGUGGGGAGCAAACAGG
Molecule: ribosomal RNA, 253 nt
Filed under: uncultured bacterium
Lineage: Bacteria
Description: partial 16S ribosomal RNA
Rfam family: Bacterial small subunit ribosomal RNA
Source: RNAcentral